UAAUGAUUGACUAUAUAUCAUUUCUCUAUCAUUUGAUGUUCUUGUCUGGGCUCAUUCAUGAGACUACAUUCAGCUGGCUGCAGUGCAGGGACCAAGAUGGACUUGUCAGGAGCCUUGGAUCGAGCUGGCAGCUGGGUACCUUGGUCCUCUUCCAAGCCUCCUUUCAUCCUCCACGCACUAGACUAGCUUUUUUACUUGGACAAGCUCCAAUGCGUGAGCAACUAUCAAGCCUCUGCUACGCCAUACUUGCCGGUGUCCCAUUGACCGAGAUCCUCCCUCUCCGGCCUCCCACCCUCAGCUGUCAAGAGAUGACUAUUCUGCAUACAGACUGUCAAUGGAUUUCAGCCUUCCAGUUCCACUUCUUCCUCUUCCCCAGCUGUUAGCAUCUAGUUCUGUGCUGUCCAACCCAAUCACAAUAUGCCACCUGAUGCUACUGAACACUCUGAAUAUGGUGAGCUUGAAUUGAAGUGUGACACAGUGUAGAACACACAGACUUUGAAGGCUUAGCACCAAAAAAAGAAUGUAGAUCUCUCACCAAUAAUUUUAAUAUUGAGUACAUGUUGAAAUGAAGCCAUUUUAGAUAUAUUGGAUUAAAUAAAAUAUCAUAUGAAAAUUUCUUUUUUUACCUUUUUUAAUCUCACUACUA
Molecule: long non-coding RNA, 646 nt
Filed under: Homo sapiens (human)
Lineage: Eukaryota; Metazoa; Chordata; Mammalia; Primates; Hominidae
Description: HSALNT0344971
Source: RNAcentral